Molecule: ribosomal RNA, 253 nt
Filed under: uncultured prokaryote
Description: partial 16S ribosomal RNA
Rfam family: Bacterial small subunit ribosomal RNA
Source: RNAcentral
ACGGAGGGUGCAAGCGUUAUCCGGAUUCACUGGGUUUAAAGGGUGCGUAGGAGGGCAGGGAAGUCAGUUGUGAAAUCUCCGGGCUUAACUCGGAAAGGUCAACUGAUACUGUGCGACUAGAGUGCAGAAGGGGCAACUGGAAUUCUCGGUGUAGCGGUGAAAUGCGUAGAUAUCGAGAGGAACACCUGCGGCGAAGGCGGGUUGCUGGGCUGACACUGACGCUGAUGCGCGAAAGCUAGGGGAGCGAACGGGA